CUUUUGUCAGCAUUGCCUAGAGCCACAGAAAGCUGCUCCGUAUUGUGGAAAUUAAUACUCGAAUAAACAGAAGUAAGUUUAAAAUCUAAACAAAUGUGGAUUUAUACACAGGGAGACGGGCAAGGAUAAAAUCUCUUACCCUCUGCCCUCUAAUCUGCAAAUCAAGAGUGGGAACAUGGGCAUCACAAAUAGGCAGAAGUGUGUGUGAUUUACAGAAGUGACGGUGAAUGGAGGGUGAGGGGACAUGGUAGUGGGGAGGACUGGGAAGCCAGAACCCAGCUGCCUUGUUACCAUGGGCAACUACGCAGACUCACAGGGAAUUUCAAAGGUGCCAGCACAACUGUCUUUGGGGUCUGCCAAGGAGCCAGAUGCUGGUGCUGAGUGAAUAUUUUAGACUGUUUGCCACACUGUUUUCAGAAUUCUACCUGAUCAUCUUCCCAUCUUCUUUGGAAAACCCAGUGAUUAGAGGAUAUAAAAGCAGUCACCUGUCAACCCAAUCCAGCAAUGAAAUUCAGCAGCCUAUUGUCCCAAUCACUGCUUUCAAUCACUCUAAACGGUCUCCAGAGACAAUCAUUAUUAUAGGACAUGUUCCUAAGAGUAGAUAAAUGGAGCUCAACCUGCCAGCCUGCAUAGGGAAAGAUGGACAGUCUUGGCCAAAAAUAUGAAAGGGCCUGGAGCUUUAUUGACAUUUACAUCAAAAAUAGUUAGCAAUGAAAGCAGCUGUUGUGGAGAGCUUUCACCACAACGUGUUUGGAAUAUGCUGUGAAUUGAAAUACAGACCUCCUGACAAGCAAUUUACCUUCUGUCAUUCUCCAUGUGCUUGCAGCAUUACUGGGUACUUGCUGUGAUAGCCCACUUAAAGCUGCACAUGUGUACAGUUUGGAUGAAAGAUUAACUGCAAUUUGAGGCAGGAAGUAACGAAUUGUGGAGUGUCAUUCAUAAUGGCCGACAUUGUCAUCUGCAGGGUGACACCACAGCAAGAAGGUGCCUCUGUUGUGACUAGCUUAUAGAUUCAGAUGUCAUUCAUCCUAAUGAAGAUCUGCCUACAGUUCUAAUAAGCAGAGUGUGAGACAGCUCAGGAUUAUAAGCAUUAAUCUGCCUUGUUUGUUGACAUUAACAUGAUGACUAAAAUGCCAUUAUGCAAGAAAUUCUUUCGAAAGCUAUUAAAAAGGGGCAAUCUUAAUAUGAGCAUUACAGCCCAGAACAGAAGUUAAUUUCCGUGUUUACUCUUGUCAUUUCCUGCACUGUAUUGAUUUUUUUUUUCUCCUCUAAAUAACUGAUACUGCACAAAAGUUUUUGAUAUUUCACAAAUAUACUACCACUUCCUGUGACCAAAAUACAACCCAAAUGUUGAUUCCCCCUAUUGCAAAAGGUAAAUCUAUUAACCCCCAGUGCUGAAAGCAUGUUAUGUUAAAUAUAAAUGUCGAUAUGAUAAAUAUUUAGCUGAUAUCUUGUGAGAGUAACAAACUGAAAUCACGCCAAGCACACUUAAAAGGAAGACUUAUGAUA
This 1509-nucleotide long non-coding RNA is filed under the name Anas platyrhynchos platyrhynchos (common mallard). Its description in RNAcentral is "lncRNA (ENSAPLG00000017156.1)". The record is from RNAcentral. Lineage: Eukaryota; Metazoa; Chordata; Aves; Anseriformes; Anatidae.